This 486-nucleotide ribosomal RNA is filed under the name uncultured bacterium. RNAcentral describes it as "partial 16S ribosomal RNA". It matches the Rfam family "Bacterial small subunit ribosomal RNA", at positions 28 to 523 of the family's 1533-position model. The record is from RNAcentral.
GACGAAUGCUGGCGGCGUGCUUAACACAUGCAAGUCGAACGCUGAAGCACCAGCUUGCUGGUGUGGAUGAGUGGCGAACGGGUGAGUAAUACGUGAGUAACCUGCCCUUGACUCUGGGAUAAGCCCGGGAAACUGGGUCUAAUACUGGAUGCUACAUGUCACCGCAUGGUGGUGUGUGGAAAGGGUUUACUGGUCUUGGAUGGGCUCACGGCCUAUCAGCUUGUUGGUGAGGUAAUGGCUCACCAAGGCGACGACGGGUAGCCGGCCUGGGAGGGUGACCGGCCACACUGGGACUGAGACACGGCCCAGACUCCUACGGGAGGCAGCAGUGGGGAAUAUUGCACAAUGGGCGAAAGCCUGAUGCAGCGACGCCGCGUGAGGGAUGACGGCCUUCGGGUUGUAAACCUCUUUCAGCAGGGAAGAAGCCACAAGUGACGGUACCUGCAGAAGAAGCGCCGGCUAACUACGUGCCAGCCGCCGCAGUAA